AUCGUUCAACUAAUAUUUUAGCUAUGGUUCUAAACGUGAAAUAUGUUGCAAUCUUUAUUGUUAUAGUUAUGCAUCAACCUGUUAAAUCUAAACGAGAAUGUGUUGGCCACAUGGGUUGUUGUGAUGGAUAUCAUUUUGAUAAAGAGCUCCAGAAUUGCACAAGAUGUCCAGACGGCUUUAUUGGUCCGAAGUGUGCGUCACCCUGCCCUUAUCCUGGAUAUGGAUUCAAAUGCAACUUUAAUUGCGAGUGUAGAAAAGAUUUCUGCAAUGUAACAGUGGGAUGUCCAAAG
This is a long non-coding RNA of Saccostrea echinata, 290 nucleotides long. RefSeq lists it as uncharacterized. The record is from RefSeq and is a predicted model, not a curated record. Lineage: Eukaryota; Metazoa; Mollusca; Bivalvia; Ostreida; Ostreidae. The transcript has 3 exons.